ACAAUUGGACGCUGGCGGCAGGCCUAACACAUGCAAGUCGAGCGGAAGAAAAAAGCUUGCUUCUCUUGAAAGCGGCGGACGGGUGAGUAAUGCCUAGGAAUCUGCCUGGUAGUGGGGGAUAACGUUCGGAAACGAACGCUAAUACCGCAUACGUCCUACGGGAGAAAGCAGGGGACCUUCGGGCCUUGCGCUAUCAGAUGAGCCUAGGUCGGAUUAGCUAGUUGGUGAGGUAAUGGCUCACCAAGGCGACGAUCCGUAACUGGUCUGAGAGGAUGAUCAGUCACACUGGAACUGAGACACGGUCCAGACUCCUACGGGAGGCAGCAGUGGGGAAUAUUGGACAAUGGGCGAAAGCCUGAUCCAGCCAUGCCGCGUGUGUGAAGAAGGUCUUCGGAUUGUAAAGCACUUUAAGUUGGGAGGAAGGGUUGUAGAUUAAUACUCUGCAAUUUUGACGUUACCGACAGAAUAAGCACCGGCUAACUCUGUGCCAGCAGCCGCGGUAGGUGCAAGCGUUAAUCGGAAUUACUGGGCGUAAAGCGCGCGUAGGUGGUUUGUUAAGUUGGAUGUGAAAUCCCCGGGCUCAACCUGGGAACUGCAUUCAAAACUGACUGACUAGAGUAUGGUAGAGGGUGGUGCAAUUUCCUGAGUAGCAAUUCCAUGUGUAGCGGUGAAAUGCGAACAACAUAUGGAGGAACCCCCCUGGCGAACUGCGACUUGUCUGGUCUGUAACUGACACUGAGGGACCAAAGCGUGUGGAGCCAACAGGAUUACAUACCCUGGAAGUCCACCCCGUAAACGAUGCAACUAGCCGUUGGAAGCCUUGAGCUUUUAGUGGCGCAGCUAACGCAUUAAGUUGACCGCCUGGGGAGUACGGCCGCAAGGUUAAAACUCAAAUGAAUUGACGGGGGCCCGCACAAGCGGUGGAGCAUGUGGUUUAAUUCGAAGCAACGCGAAGAACCUUACCAGGCCUUGACAUCCAAUGAACUUUCUAGAGAUAGAUUGGUGCCUUCGGGAACAUUGAGACAGGUGCUGCAUGGCUGUCGUCAGCUCGUGUCGUGAGAUGUUGGGUUAAGUCCCGUAACGAGCGCAACCCUUGUCCUUAGUUACCAGCACGUAAUGGUGGGCACUCUAAGGAGACUGCCGGUGACAAACCGGAGGAAGGUGGGGAUGACGUCAAGUCAUCAUGGCCCUUACGGCCUGGGCUACACACGUGCUACAAUGGUCGGUACAGAGGGUUGCCAAGCCGCGAGGUGGAGCUAAUCCCAUAAAACCGAUCGUAGUCCGGAUCGCAGUCUGCAACUCGACUGCGUGAAGUCGGAAUCGCUAGUAAUCGCGAAUCAGAAUGUCGCGGUGAAUACGUUCCCGGGCCUUGUACACACCGCCCGUCACACCAUGGGAGUGGGUUGCACCAGAAGUAGCUAGUCUAACCUUCGGGAGGACGGUUACCACGGUGUGAUUCAUGACUGGGGUGAAGUCGUAACAAGGUAGCCGUAUCGGACGUGCUC
Molecule: ribosomal RNA, 1505 nt
Filed under: Pseudomonas sp. 41dnr
Lineage: Bacteria; Pseudomonadati; Pseudomonadota; Gammaproteobacteria; Pseudomonadales; Pseudomonadaceae
Description: bacterial SSU rRNA
Rfam family: Bacterial small subunit ribosomal RNA
Source: RNAcentral